GUGAUUCUAUGAUUGACUCGUCCUUCAAUACUAUCUUGUAACAGUAACAGCUUUUCAGCCCUUGUUGAUUCCUGUAACAUUCAUGAGCACUGUUCUUUACCUGCUGAAAAUCCCAUAUCACACUGAACUUGCCCACAGUUGCAACAAGGUGGCGUUCUUGUUUACCAUUCUCUGUGACCUGAAAGACAAAAAGCAAAUGCUUAAUACUUGCUGCAGGUUGACUAACUCAGUAAAAGUAAACUAAAAAUAAUCACCAUCAGUUUAAAUUAACAUUCCAGAUGCAAGUAAUAGUAUGCAGCAUGGAAUAAACAAGGAAUUCUAUCUCGAGGUGCAUAAAAGGCUAUCCAUAUUUAUAACUCACUGAUCACUAUAAAUGUGUAUGAGCUACACAGAAUGUGAUAGUGUUCUUUCCACUGUGAACAAAUAACCAUUUCCCUGCAGUCGUGUCUUCUAUUAAAUCAUGCACGUAACGAUUGUUACAAAUGAUAUCAGCCCAACUUACAGAUAACAUUAUAAAAAUUUCACUUAUUUCAAAAACAAACAAAAAAAAAUCAAAAUUUCACUUGAUAAGUUGAUGGAGUGAAUCAUGAUAUCUUAAUUUCUUAACCUGCUAAAAGCUAUGUCUUGUACUCUACUAAUGGUGAUCCUAUACUUGCUUUUCAUCCUUCUACAAUUUUUUUUAAAAGCCCUCAUUACUUAUGCUACCAUUAUCAUUUAAUCUCACCCAUCAUUUUCAGAAUCGGCCAUUUAUACAUCUUGCUGCAUUAGAUGAGCUCCAUGAUAAUUUCACGAUCGCACUAUUAUAUGGAUCACACAUUACAUUAAUGUGUACGUAGCUUUUAAACAGAAAGCGUAUGACCCAAACAUAAGUAACAGAAAGUGUAUGACCCGCUAGGUUUACCCCCAUACUAUUGCUAAACCAGACAGCAGAAGUUCCAUCCUUGUCCCAAUAACACCCUAGUUUCCGCACAUGGUAAUAAGUCUAUAAUAGCAUGAGAAUUAAUUGCCCUUUACAAAAUAAAACCAAGAAUGGAAUUUUUAGUGGUAAACAUUGAUGGUACUUAAUGAAAUAUGCAAGCAGUGUUGUUAAAUAGCGGCUAUAGCAUAGCAAAAAUUCAACAAACCACUAUUGUCCUGUCAUCCUGUGAUAUGCUAUUUAAUAUAAAAACAUUAUUAAAUAGCGGUUAUAGCGCAGGUAUAGAACUGUUGCAUAGCGGAAUUUGAACAAACUACUAUUUCGCACUAUCCACAAUUGACAUCACUGUGUGCAGGUAUGAACGAAUAGUUCUUUCAUUAAAGAAGGAAAUAAGGAAUAUAUAAAAAAUAAAAAAAAAAUUAAAAAACUAACUAUAUUCAAAGUAGUUAAUCAAAGAUAGUUAAAUGCGCAUGUUAGUAAGUAAACACACUUCCAUACUUAUUUUUUCAACAGUAAAAGGAGUGACUCAGGUUCUUUACUGUUAACUACGGUAGGAUCUAACAAAAACAUCAGAAUGUGUGUGUGUGUGUGUGUUGGAGAGAAAGUAAGUGUCAAAUAGUGUUUUGCUCCCAUUCAUAUUCAUAUUUAUAUGUAAUAAAAAGUAAGAUGAUGAUGCUACAUGUCAAUGCAAAAUAGAAGGCAAUGACACAAAUAAUAGAGAAUAAUGAUUGAUUACCCAUGAGAAAUGGCCACCAUGAAACUUGUUGGUAGUUCCAGCCAAAUGUGAAUCCAGAGGAGUGAGCUUCAACAAUCUAGGAGCACCUAUCCUGUUUCCCAUACGACCACCAAAACCAGUCUUUGUCUUCCCAUCUUUAUCAGUGAACAAUGUACAAAUCAAGACCAAAUAAGUAUCAGUUGUACCCAACACCCACUUUCCAUCAAAAGUAACAUCAACGCUUGUAAUAGGUGAACCAAGCCCUGGAAAAGCCGUCUUCGCCAUCCUCAUCGAUUUAUUCGAAUACAACCUUAUCUUCCCAUCAAGAGACCCCACCACAAUUGAACCAUCUCCUGUAGUUGCAAAGCAUUGAAAAUUUGUCCCUCUUGAAAAUUGAUGC
RNAcentral lists this long non-coding RNA (2031 nucleotides) under Medicago truncatula (barrel medic). RNAcentral's name for it is "long non-coding RNA (MTRU_LNC002139)". The record is from RNAcentral. Lineage: Eukaryota; Viridiplantae; Streptophyta; Magnoliopsida; Fabales; Fabaceae.